UGGGGUAUUAGCGCAGUUGGGAGCGCGCAACAUUCGCAUUGUUGAGGCCAGGGGUUCGAAUCCCCUAUACUCCAUC
RNAcentral lists this transfer RNA (76 nucleotides) under uncultured Clostridium sp. RNAcentral's name for it is "tRNA-Ala(cgc)". It matches the Rfam family "tRNA". From Rfam's summary of the family: Transfer RNA (tRNA) molecules are approximately 80 nucleotides in length. Their secondary structure includes four short double-helical elements and three loops (D, anti-codon, and T loops). Lineage: Bacteria; Bacillati; Bacillota; Clostridia; Eubacteriales; Clostridiaceae. The record is from RNAcentral.